Long non-coding RNA from Bos taurus (domestic cattle), 889 nucleotides. The record is from Ensembl. Lineage: Eukaryota; Metazoa; Chordata; Mammalia; Artiodactyla; Bovidae.
GGCCGCUGUGUCUCUGCACACAACGGCUGUCCAGGCCGGAGCAGCCAUAGUGUAGCCUGGAGCCCCCCCACCGCUCCCAGGGAGGGGAGGGGCCGCCUGAGAUCCCUCAGGAAAGACUGGAUUCCAGGAGGCCUGACCCUCCGAGGGGAACUCGUGUGCUGCCCGCCUGCUUCCUGCCGGGGACCGUCGGCCACUGAGCCUUCCAGGACCGGAGCUGCAGGGGCGACGCAGCCACCCACAGUCCCUCCACCUCAUCUUCCGCCGUCCCAUCGCCUGCCAGCUCGUCAUUCAGCGUGGAUUUCCUGAGCCACCCCCAGGCACCAGCACCAUGGCUCAGGCGAUGUGCAGACAACAAAGAAAGAAUCACACACUCACUCCCUGUCAAGUCCUCCCGGGCGCCUGGACUCAGCCGUGGGCCCCAGCCCUCACUCCCCAGGCCAGCUGGGGGCAGACCCAGGUCCUGGGGAUCCCAUGAAGCUCAGAGGUCCCCGACUUCACACCAGCAGGUCACCCAGGAAACCAAAGGAUCAGGAAUACGGAGACUUGCACGGAGUAAAGCUCACAGUCCGGAGCCUGAAUCCGCCGGCGGCGCAACAGGGGCCAGUUCAGAGCAGGCUGGUCUCGUCUCCUCCGGCCACCGCCCUCCCUCCCGGUCACUUGCAGGCAAUCCCCUGACUCCGCGUCGUCUGCCCCGGAGCCUCAGUACACAGGGCAUGUGGGGCCUCGGUGACCCUGAGGUCCAGUGCGUGCCCAGGAGGAAGGGCAAGCACUCAACUCUGUCCCUUUCUGAUUUAUUUUAUUCCUUUUCAGAAUAAUGAGCCCUAGCCUCCGACCAAGGCCCAGUGAGAAUUCUGUAGUAUUCUUUUAAAUAAAAUGGAUUUUAAAGAUA